RNAcentral lists this ribosomal RNA (402 nucleotides) under uncultured bacterium. RNAcentral's name for it is "bacterial SSU rRNA". It matches the Rfam family "Bacterial small subunit ribosomal RNA", at positions 29 to 424 of the family's 1533-position model. The record is from RNAcentral.
AACGAACGCUGGCGGCGCGCCUAAUACAUGCAAGUCGAGCGAGAAGACGUAGCAAUACGUUUGUAAAGCGGCGAACGGGUGAGGAAUACAUGGGUAACCUACCCUCGAGUGGGGAAUAACUAGCCGAAAGGUUAGCUAAUACCGCGUACGCUCCUUGGACUUCGGUUCAGGGAGGAAAGCGAUACCGUGGGUAUCGCGCUCUUGGAUGGGCUCAUGUCCUAUCAGCUUGUUGGUGAGGAACGGCUCACCAAGGCUUCGACGGGUAGCUGGUCUGAGAGGACGAUCAGCCACACUGGCACUGCGACACGGGCCAGACUCCUACGGGAGCAGCAGUAAGGAUAUUGCGCAAUGGGCGAAAGCCUGACGCAGCGACGCCGCGUGGGGGAUGAAGGUCUUCGGAUU